AGGAGAACUACGAGGAGCCAACCCUAGUACGAGAGGACUGGGUUGGGCUAACCUAUGGUGUACCGGUUGUUAUGCCAAUAGCAGCGCCGAGCAGCUAAGUUAGUAUGGAAAAACUGCUGCGCCGUGGGAAAUCCUUCUCUAUACAAGUUCUCAGACGAGGUUUUUGAAUAGAACUUCUAUAGGCGAGAGGUGUAAGCACCGCGAGGUGUGAAACGAUCUCGUAAAAAUUUG
Molecule: non-coding RNA, 231 nt
Organism: Nicotiana sylvestris (wood tobacco)
Lineage: Eukaryota; Viridiplantae; Streptophyta; Magnoliopsida; Solanales; Solanaceae
Source: Rfam